Long non-coding RNA from Humulus lupulus (European hop), 367 nucleotides. RefSeq lists it as uncharacterized. NCBI's taxonomy places the organism in Eukaryota, Viridiplantae, Streptophyta, Magnoliopsida, Rosales, Cannabaceae. The transcript has 3 exons. The record is from RefSeq and is a predicted model, not a curated record.
GAGCCUAGCACAGAAGAUAGCAGUGCAUUCUCUUAUGCACCUUCAUCAUCAGAAGCAGAGCCUUGUAUCACCACAAAGUCUUCUAAACGAGGGCCUACUCGUGGUAAAGGGACUGUCAUAGCUGCCAGAGUUGCUCCGGGUGGCAAGUUAUCUGUUACUUUUAAUAGUGAUUGUCGCCAAGCUAUUUGUACAAAUGCUGAAAAGUUUAACAAUGAGAUUGGAUUUGUUAUUCGUAAUCAUGGCACAUUUACUUAUAAAGAAUGGAGGCUUGUGCCGGAGGAGGUGAGAGCGCCAUUGAGACAAUAUCUUUUGGAAAGUUUUGACAUCAACUUGUGUGAUAAGACGACAUUCAAGUUCAUUGAUGAGA